GUCUCUAGCUGCAUGGUUGCUCCACCUGCUUUGCAAGCAGGAGGUCAGGAGUUCGAUUCUCCUAUGCUCCA
This is a transfer RNA of 71 nucleotides. It matches the Rfam family "tRNA". From Rfam's summary of the family: Transfer RNA (tRNA) molecules are approximately 80 nucleotides in length. Their secondary structure includes four short double-helical elements and three loops (D, anti-codon, and T loops).